GACGAACGCUGGCGGCGUGCCUAACACAUGCAAGUCGAGCGGAAAGGCCCUGCUUUUGUGGGGUGCUCGAGUGGCGAACGGGUGAGAAACACGUGAGUAACCUGCCCUUGUCUUUGGGAUAUCUUCAGGAAACUGGGGCUAAUACCGGAUAGGAGCUCUUGCUGCAUGGUGUUGGUUGGAAAGUUUCGGCGGUUGGGUAUCGACUCGCGGCUUAAGGGCUGGUUGGGGGAGUAGUGGCUUACCAAGCCUUCGACGGCUAGCCUGCCUGAGAGCGUAACCAGGGUCAUGGCGACUACGGGAGGGCGCAGAAUGGUACCGGAGGCAGUAGUAGAGAGUAUUGCACAGUAAGGGAGAGCCUGAUGCAGCAACGUCGCGUGCGGAAUGCCGGCCUUCUGGUGAUGAACCACUUUCGAAUGAAACAUGGCUUUAGUGACGGUAAUGGCUAAAGAAGCACCGGCUAACUACGUG
This 468-nucleotide ribosomal RNA is filed under the name uncultured bacterium. RNAcentral describes it as "partial 16S ribosomal RNA". It matches the Rfam family "Bacterial small subunit ribosomal RNA", at positions 28 to 507 of the family's 1533-position model. The record is from RNAcentral.